RNAcentral lists this small nuclear RNA (103 nucleotides) under Catagonus wagneri (Chacoan peccary). Lineage: Eukaryota; Metazoa; Chordata; Mammalia; Artiodactyla; Tayassuidae. The record is from RNAcentral.
GUGCUGGCUUCAGCAGCACUUGUACUGAAGUUGGAAUGAUACAGAGAUUAGCAUGGCCCUGCACAAGGUUGACACCCAAAAUCCUGAGGCCUUCCACAAAAAG